Molecule: non-coding RNA, 193 nt
Organism: Lupinus albus (white lupine)
Lineage: Eukaryota; Viridiplantae; Streptophyta; Magnoliopsida; Fabales; Fabaceae
Source: the annotation of a GenBank genome assembly
AAUAGUUUAAGAGAGCUUCCUUCAGCCCACUCAUGGACGGGUAAAGGGUUUGAAUUAGCUGCUGACUCAUUCAUUCAAACACAAUAGAUCAAACAUAAUGAUAUGCUAUUGUGAAUGUGUGAAUGAUGCAGGAGCUAAAUUUCUUCCUUUUUUGUCUGUGCUUGGACUGAAGGGAGCUCCCUUUUACUGUUUA